AGUCGCACCUUGAUGCUUUUAUCCCCCGAUGGCAGCAUCCUGUCGAAGCGCUUCCCUUGCCACAGGGGGUUCCACUGAAGUCCACGAUCCAACAUCUGAGGAAGAGAGUUCGUCAUUUAACAAAAAAGUCGAAGGAGAUGGAGAACGAACUUCGCGGGUUGAGGGAGAGCCACUCUGAGGCCACUGCGGAGGCUACCUACUUUUGAAACCUCCACGUGAAGG
RNAcentral lists this long non-coding RNA (222 nucleotides) under Elaeis guineensis (African oil palm). RNAcentral's name for it is "long non-coding RNA (EGUI_LNC071895)". The record is from RNAcentral. Lineage: Eukaryota; Viridiplantae; Streptophyta; Magnoliopsida; Arecales; Arecaceae.